AGACUUAGAGGAUAGGAAUUGCAGUACUAUCGCCCCGUAAUUGGAAGGAGACGCAAGGUAGCUGCGCUUGCCUAAGUCU
RNAcentral lists this non-coding RNA (79 nucleotides) under unclassified sequences. RNAcentral describes it as "skipping-rope RNA". It matches the Rfam family "skipping-rope RNA". From Rfam's summary of the family: Firmicutes, Fusobacteria, AlphaProteobacteria, Spirochaetes. Downstream gene The record is from Rfam by way of RNAcentral.